RNAcentral lists this ribosomal RNA (460 nucleotides) under uncultured bacterium. RNAcentral describes it as "partial 16S ribosomal RNA". It matches the Rfam family "Bacterial small subunit ribosomal RNA", at positions 338 to 795 of the family's 1533-position model. The record is from RNAcentral.
CCUACGGGCGGCAGCAGUGAGGAAUAUUGGUCAAUGGACGAGAGUCUGAACCAGCCAAGUAGCGUGAAGGAUGACUGCCCUAUGGGUUGUAAACUUCUUUUAUAAAGGAAUAAAACGAGGCACGUGUGCCUUUUUGUAUGUAUUUUAUGAAUAAGGAUCGGCUAACUCCGUGCCAGCAGCCGCGGUAAUACGGAGGAUCCGAGCGUUAUCCGGAUUUAUUGGGUUUAAAGGGAGCGUAGAUGGGUUGUUAAGUCAGUUGUGAAAGUUUGCGGCUCAACCGUAAAAUUGCAAUUGAUACUGGCAGUCUUGAGUACAGUUGAGGUAGGCGGAAUUCGUGGUGUAGCGGUGAAAUGCUUAGAUAUCACGAAGAACCCCGAUUGCGAAGGCAGCUUACUAAACUGUGACUGACAUUGAUGCUCGAAAGUGUGGGUAUCAAACAGGAUUAGAUACCCCUGUAGUC